AUUGAACGCUGGCGGCAGGCCUAACACAUGCAAGUCGAACGGCAGCGGGAAGUAGCUUGCUACUUUGCCGGCGAGUGGCGGACGGGUGAGUAAUGUCUGGGAAACUGCCUGCUGGAGGGGGAUAACUACUGGAAACGGUGGCUAAUACCGCAUGACGUCGCAAGACCAAAGAGGUGGACCUUCGGGCCUCUUGCCAUCUGAUGUGCCCAGAUGGGAGGAGCUAGAAGGCGGGGUAAUGGCCCACCUAGGCGACGAUCCCUAGCUGGUCUGAGAGGAUGACCAGCCACACUGGGAAGGAGACACGGCACAGACUCCUACGGGAGGCAGCAGUGGGGAAUAUUGCACAAUGGGCGCAAGCCUGAUGCAGCCAUGCCGCGUGUGUGAAGAAGGCCUUCGGGUUGUAAAGCACUUUCAGCGAGGAGGAAGGGGUUGAACUUAAUACGUUCAAUCAUUGACGUUACUCGCAGAAGAAGCACCGGCUAACUCCGUGCCAGCCGCCGCGGUAA
Molecule: ribosomal RNA, 506 nt
Filed under: uncultured bacterium
Lineage: Bacteria
Description: partial 16S ribosomal RNA
Rfam family: Bacterial small subunit ribosomal RNA
Source: RNAcentral